AAGUGUGUUUUAUUUUCAAGUAGAUAAUAAAUCGUUGUGGAUCAAUCUUAUUUGUAUGUAAAAAUGGUUUAUGAUUGGUUUACGGCAGUUUUCUUAGUAUAUAUUAUUAUAGAUUCUAAUUUAUGAUUGGUAAAUUAAAAGCGGUUUAAUCUGCAUAGUAUUUGUCCGUCUCAACCGCUGUAAUCAUUUGCAUUUUAAAC
RNAcentral lists this small RNA (200 nucleotides) under Arabidopsis thaliana (thale cress). Its description in RNAcentral is "ATSL102010". The record is from RNAcentral. Lineage: Eukaryota; Viridiplantae; Streptophyta; Magnoliopsida; Brassicales; Brassicaceae.